UACGUAGGGGGCAAGCGUUGUCCGGAGUUACUGGGCGUAAAGCGCACGCAGGCGGUCUCUUAAGUUUGGAGUGACAGUUGGUGGCUUAACUGCCAAAGUGCUUCGAAAACUGAGAGACUUGAGGGCUUCAGAGGGACACGGAAUUCCGGGUGGAGUGGUGAAAUGCGUAGAGAUCGGAAAGAACACCAACGGCGAAAGCACUCUGCUGGGCCGACACUGACACUGAGAGACGAAAGCUAGGGGAGCGAAUGGG
This 253-nucleotide ribosomal RNA is filed under the name uncultured bacterium. RNAcentral's name for it is "partial 16S ribosomal RNA". It matches the Rfam family "Bacterial small subunit ribosomal RNA", at positions 524 to 776 of the family's 1533-position model. The record is from RNAcentral.